CACCUCCCGCCGCCCCCGCGCACCGCUUCCGCGCCGCUCGUGGCGAUGGAGCCUGCUGGCUCCGGCCCGGCCCGGCCAGCCCGGCGGGGGGAAAGCGCCGUGGGCGCUGCGCGGCCCGAGCCCGUGCGCGCCGCCCGUCGGGGCUGAGGGCCUGUGCGCGCCCGGGGGGCGGCACUUACUUACCGCAAAGUAACUUUACGCGUGAGUUUCUGAGGCACUGCCCGCCGCGGAGUUAAGGCACGGUUGUGAGCAGCUGCAUGGAGAGCAGCAGUCAUUCUUGUAGCACGCAGUAUCUUAAAGUGCUCAUGUCGCUUAAUUCACGUUUAAUGAUGCUUAACAUCCCUUCUUCUGGCUGUUUUUAUCAGAGCAUCCCUAGACAGGUUUUUGCGGCUGUGGCUCGUAUUGCUUUUCAUGGACUAAUUUGGAGUGCACCGAGAGGUUAAAGUGCCCCUGUGGAAAGAGGGUCCCUACUCUGAGGAGCUUUUGGUCCCAGUGUUACCCGUGCUAACCCGCAUAUGUGAACUCACAUCUGUGCCUGCAAGGUUAGGCCCUAAAUCACGUUGCAGCUCCAUUGGUGAAGUUAAAAGGAGAACAUCGUAUCGCAGCAAAACUACAUCUGAAACAGUUUGGAGUAUUAAGCAGAUUUCUGAGGUGCCUUGUGACACUGAAUGUCUGGUUUUAGUCUUUAGAUCCAGUGAGGAAAAAAUAGAGAUUUCCUUCAAAUUCAGUAUAUUUCCUGCUGAUCUUCAUCUACGCUCUACAGUAACCAAAAUCAGAUUGACCUGUUGACCGAUAAUCUAUCUUAUAGCUCCAAAGCUUGUUGAAAAUUUCAUUUUCAUAAUUAUUAUAGGAUUAAGUGUGUAACAAGUUAGGAUUGGUCAGAAAACAGCAGUUCUGUGGGGGCGGAAGGUGUGAGGUUUGGAUAUUGGUUGUUAGUUGUCAUCAAAGUGAAAACUAGAGCUUCUAAAUGUUUUUGGGAAAAAAAACAAAGCCCAGGCAGAGCUACUCGCUUUGGAAUAAUCACUAGCUCUGCAGCUGGGAGAGGAUGAGGCAGAACAGGUAGCCGUCUCAGGAGAGCUUGCUUCCCAGGCAUGCGUACUGACUACCUGCCAUUAGUGGUGAGAGCGUUAAUAGAACCUCAGUUAAAAUUUCAUCUUAAUGUUCUUUCUAGCAAAAUAUUGGACAAGAACAGUAUAUUUACAUAAAAACUCCGAAGAAAACCAUGAAUUCAUGAGCGGCUCCAGUAGCAAGUAUUUCCUUUGAAAAAGAUGCUCUGGUGUCCUGUGCUAGACACAAGUAGUUGAAGAUAUUUCUGUAGACUAAAGGGACAGAAUGUAUUUUUUGGAUGAUUGUGACUACUACACUGAUAAAGGGCAGAGCAAACCAGCAGUCACCUGCAUAAGAAAUGAACGCUGUUUUGUCUUAGUGAAAUCAGAAUCUGUAGUUUAUAUUUGGGGUAUUAAAAACUUGAACUCGUGCUUUGGAAUAA
Dromaius novaehollandiae (emu) is the source of this 1489-nucleotide long non-coding RNA. RefSeq lists it as uncharacterized. The record is from RefSeq and is a predicted model, not a curated record. The transcript has 2 exons. NCBI's taxonomy places the organism in Eukaryota, Metazoa, Chordata, Aves, Casuariiformes, Dromaiidae.